Molecule: unclassified non-coding RNA, 299 nt
Filed under: Hevea brasiliensis (rubber tree)
Lineage: Eukaryota; Viridiplantae; Streptophyta; Magnoliopsida; Malpighiales; Euphorbiaceae
Source: RNAcentral
AUCGAUUUCUCUCUCGGUUCAUCCCAGUGUUUUAUAUUCGAAUCAGAGAGUACUCAAAGACAGUGGCAGUAGCACCUUUUGUUGUAAAUUACAAUGGAGCAUUGUUUCGUCAAUACCCUGGUCCAUGGCAGGUGAUGCUUAAACAAGCAGAUGGUUCUUAUGCUUGUGUAGCAGAAAGUGCAACACGCUUUACACUUGGCGAGACCAAAGAAGAACUGCUGAGGGUCCUUGGACUGCAGGAGGAAAAAGGAAGCUUACUAGAAUUUCUUCGCAGGGGCUACAAGUCUGCAACUUGGUGG